GGCGCUAUAGUGUAGUGGUUAUCACUUGGGAUUCUGAUAUCCUCCCUUGUGAGAUCUCGUUGAUUGUUCCCAAAACCCAGGUUCGAGCCCUGGUAGCGCCU
Lentinus tigrinus ALCF2SS1-7 is the source of this 101-nucleotide non-coding RNA. The record is from the annotation of a GenBank genome assembly. Lineage: Eukaryota; Fungi; Basidiomycota; Agaricomycetes; Polyporales; Polyporaceae.